Molecule: ribosomal RNA, 794 nt
Filed under: Microcera coccophila
Lineage: Eukaryota; Fungi; Ascomycota; Sordariomycetes; Hypocreales; Nectriaceae
Description: eukaryotic LSU rRNA
Rfam family: Eukaryotic large subunit ribosomal RNA
Source: RNAcentral
CGGCGAGUGAAGCGGCAACAGCUCAAAUUUGAAAUCUGGCCCCCGGGUCCGAGUUGUAAUUUGUAGAGGAUGCUUUUGGUGCGGUACCUUCCGAGUUCCCUGGAACGGGACGCCAUAGAGGGUGAGAGCCCCGUCUGGUCGGAUACCAAUCCUCUGUAAAGCUCCUUCGACGAGUCGAGUAGUUUGGGAAUGCUGCUCUAAAUGGGAGGUAUAUGUCUUCUAAAGCUAAAUAUUGGCCAGAGACCGAUAGCGCACAAGUAGAGUGAUCGAAAGAUGAAAAGCACUUUGAAAAGAGGGUUAAACAGUACGUGAAAUUGUUGAAAGGGAAGCGCUCAUGACCAGACUUGGGCCCGGUCAAUCAUCCACCGUUCUCGGUGGUGCACUUGGCCGGCCCCAGGCCAGCAUCAGUUCGGCGUGGGGGAUAAAGGCAGCGGGAAUGUGGCUCCCCCGGGAGUGUUAUAGCCCGCUGUGUAAUACCCUGUGCUGGACUGAGGUUCGCGCAUCUGCAAGGAUGCUGGCGUAAUGGUCAUCAGCGACCCGUCUUGAAACACGGACCAAGGAGUCGUCUUCGUAUGCGAGUGUUCGGGUGUCAAACCCCUACGCGUAAUGAAAGUGAACGCAGGUGAGAGCUUCGGCGCAUCAUCGACCGAUCCUGAUGUUCUCGGAUGGAUUUGAGUAAGAGCAUACGGGGCCGGACCCGAAAGAAGGUGAACUAUGCCUGUAUAGGGUGAAGCCACAGGAAACUGUGGUGGAGGCUCGCAGCGGUUCUGACGUGCAAAUCGAUCGUCAAAUAU